AUGGCCGCCGCCGUUGCAUUUCCCCACCUUCUCCUUUUCCUCGUCUUGGUGUCCCCUGUGGCCUGCUACUCUGCUAGUCCAUCUUACCGCUGCGACUGGUGCCCGCGGCGAUCCACCGUCUCCCUCCUCCCUCCGGAGGCCAGUGCCCUCAACGGCGCCGCGUGCGGAUACGGUGACACGGCGGCGGUGGCUGAGCUCACCAACGCGGGGUUCCACAUUGCCGCCGUCAACGCCGGCUUCUUCCGCCAAGGCCAGGCCUGCGGCGCCUGCUACCAGCUGAGGUGCAGGGGCCGGAGCGCGUGCGCCAAGGACGGCGUCAAGGUCGUCAUCGUCGCCGACGUGCCGGAGACGAACAGCACAGGCAGGGGCGGGCGGUUCAUGAUCAACAAGGACGCUUUCGCCGCCUUGACUACUGCUGGUGGCGGUGGCCAGCUCGCGAGCUUGGUAGACGCGGCCGUCGACGUUGACUUCAGGAGGAUACCUUGCGCCUACAAAGGCAAGAACCUCGCCGUGAGGGUGGAGGAGACGAGCAGCAGGGACAAGGGCCACCUCGCCGUCAGGUUCCUCUACCAGGGCGGCCAGACCGACAUCGUCGCCGUCGAGGUGGCGCAGGCGGAAAUUCCUGGUGCCACGACCCAGAGUGCCGCCGCGCCGUCGCCGACAACAUGGCAGUACACGACGCCGCGCGAGGGGUCGCUGGGGGUGUGGCGCACGUCGCGCGCGCCGGCCGGCCCGCUGCGGCUCCGCCUUGUGGUGACCGCCGGCUCCGGCGGCAAGUGGCUUCGAACGGAUGGUGCAGUGCUCCCCGCGGAGUGGCAAGCCGGCGCGGUCUACUACACUGGGCUGCGCGUCACCGACGUCGCUGCAAACACCUGCGGCGGCGCCUCCUGCUCCGCCUCCGGAGACGGCGACGAGGAGGAGAAUAUGCCGAUGGCGACACCGUACCAGGCUGGGGUCGUGAACUAUACGUGCCCGCCAGUCCGGCGCAACCCUCAUCGAUCCACCGACCAUGGCGCGCCUUCUCUCCUCGUCCUCGUCCUCGCGGUGGCCGCCGCCCUCGCCCUAUCGCUGCCCGUGCGCGCUUCUGGGACUCCCUCGUCGUCGUACCGCUGCGGCUGGUGCACGCGCCGAUCCAUCGCCUCCCUCCUCCCUCUCUACGUCGGCGUCCUCACCAGCGCCGCGUGUGGAUACGGUGACCCGGCCAAGCUCGCCGCCGUCGGGGGGUUCCACAUUGCAGCCGUCAGCGCUGGAUUCUUCCGCGGCGGCCGGGCCUGCGGCGCCUGCUACCAGCUGAGGUGCAGGGACCGGAGCGCGUGCGCAGAGGGCGGCGUCAAGGUCAUCAUCUCCGACGUGGCGAAACCGGCGACGGGCACGAACAGGACAGGCGGCAGCCAGUUCCAGCUCACGAAGGACGCGUUCGCCGCCUUGACCGCUUCUCGUGACGAUGGUCAGCUCGGGAGCUUGGUGGACACAGCCGUCGACGUCGACUUCAGGAGGAUACCUUGCGCAUACAAGAGCAAGAACCUGGCGGUGAGGGUGGAUGAGACCAGCAGCAGGGAUAAGGGCCACCUCGCCCUUCGCUUCCUCUACCAGGGCGGCCAGACCAACAUCACCACCGUCGAGGUCGCGCAGGCGGCGACACCUGAUGCCGCGCAGAGUGCUGCCGCACCGUCGCCGACGAAAUGGCAGUACAUGACAUGGCGCGAGGGGUCACCAGGGGUGUGGCGCACGUCGCACGCACCGGCUGGCCCGCUGCAGGUCAGGGUCGUGGUGACCGCGGGCUCCGUCGGCAAGUGGCUGUGCGCCGACGGGGCGGUGCUCCCCGCGGAGUGGCAGCCAGGCACGGUCUACGACACAGGGCUGCGCGUCACCGACGUCGCCGCGCACACAUGCAGUUGCGCCUCCACCUCCGGGGACGACGGCGAAGAGGAGUAG
RNAcentral lists this ribosomal RNA (1935 nucleotides) under Triticum aestivum (bread wheat). Its description in RNAcentral is "partial small subunit ribosomal RNA". Lineage: Eukaryota; Viridiplantae; Streptophyta; Magnoliopsida; Poales; Poaceae. The record is from RNAcentral.